Phascolarctos cinereus (koala) is the source of this 713-nucleotide long non-coding RNA. RefSeq lists it as uncharacterized. Lineage: Eukaryota; Metazoa; Chordata; Mammalia; Diprotodontia; Phascolarctidae. The record is from RefSeq and is a predicted model, not a curated record.
UCUCAGCAAGGUGGUCCUGUAAUGUCCUGGGACUUGGAUGCAAUCAGUACGUUGUCAUCCACAAACACCAGAGCCUACAGGAACUCAUCUCUUCUAUUUAGACUCGUGAAAGGCAUCCUCCAUGACAGUGGUGAACUCCUUCGGUCUCAAGUUUCCACCUCCUUCACCUAGAAGAGAAAAGAACAAAGGAAAAACCCCAGGACAGAGGUAUCUUUCUUGGGGCCAUGUGGCCUCAGAAGGGAAGAAGCCCAAAGGCCUCUCCCCUUAAAGCUUGGUCUCUCACCAAAUGCCUUGAAUGAAGGGAGUCACCAAAUAAAGCCGUAAGAGUGAAUAAAGCCAGAAAGAGAAUGAUCAACUUCUUGCAGAUUCCCUGUGCGCUCUCUUUAAAUGGUGGAGUAUCUGGGAGGAGCUCUCUAAUACCCAACCUCUAUUAUCUACAGUCAAGGGGCGGAAGAUCCCAAUGGUCAGGCGAAGAGGUGUAAGGAGUAUGAGGAGAAUAUAACCAAUCCAUGGCUACCCAUCCACGGCUGCCUAUCCUCAUUGCUUGAAUACAAAGCAACCAUGAAGAGCUCCAGGGGUGAUAAGAGUUUUGGCUGGUAGAUCACAAUCAUUGAUCCAUCCAUACAUUGGAAAGAGCUUCACUCAGAUGAAUCAACUGAAGGUAUCCUCAAUGUGUGUCCACCUCUCGUGUUCAAUAAACUAUGGUGGCUCCC